RNAcentral lists this ribosomal RNA (756 nucleotides) under Haloarcula sp. W2-1. RNAcentral describes it as "bacterial SSU rRNA". It matches the Rfam family "Archaeal small subunit ribosomal RNA", at positions 52 to 809 of the family's 1478-position model. Lineage: Archaea; Methanobacteriati; Methanobacteriota; Halobacteria; Halobacteriales; Haloarculaceae. The record is from RNAcentral.
UGCUAGUUGCACGAGUUCAGACUCGUAGCAUAUAGCUCAGUAACACGUGGCCAAACUACCCUACAGACCGCGAUAACCUCGGGAAACUGAGGCCAAUAGCGGAUAUAACUCUCAGGCUGGAGUGUCGAGAGUUAGAAACGUUCCGGCGCUGUAGGAUGUGGCUGCGGCCGAUUAGGUAGAUGGUGGGGUAACGGCCCACCAUGCCGAUAAUCGGUACAGGUUGUGAGAGCAAGAGCCUGGAGACGGUAUCUGAGACAAGAUACCGGGCCCUACGGGGCGCAGCAGGCGCGAAACCUUUACACUGCACGACAGUGCGAUAGGGGGACUCCGAGUGUGAGGGCAUAUAGCCCUCGCUUUUCUGUACCGUAAGGUGGUACAGGAACAAGGACUGGGCAAGACCGGUGCCAGCCGCCGCGGUAAUACCGGCAGUCCGAGUGAUGGCCGAUAUUAUUGGGCCUAAAGCGUCCGUAGCUUGCUGUGUAAGUCCAUUGGGAAAUCGACCAGCUCAACUGGUCGGCGUCCGGUGGAAACUACACAGCUUGGGGCCGAGAGACUCAACGGGUACGUCCGGGGUAGGAGUGAAAUCCUGUAAUCCUGGACGGACCACCAAUGGGGAAACCACGUUGAGAGACCGGACCCGACAGUGAGGGACGAAAGCCAGGGUCUCGAACCGGAUUAGAUACCCGGGUAGUCCUGGCUGUAAACAAUGCUCGCUAGGUAUGUCACGCGCCAUGAGCACGUGAUGUGCCGUAGUGA